Molecule: non-coding RNA, 236 nt
Organism: Oryctolagus cuniculus (rabbit)
Lineage: Eukaryota; Metazoa; Chordata; Mammalia; Lagomorpha; Leporidae
Source: Rfam
AAGGAGAAGGGCCGGGAGCCCGAAGCGGGGAGCGCCUCAGCGGCGCACAGACACGCAGAGCGCCAGGAGGCAGCGGCGAUGGCGCAGCCUGGGACUGCCAGGCGCGCGGGGCAGGAAGCAGCCGGUUGCUGAGAGGCCUCGCGCGGGAGGCCGGGGCUGGGGCCCGCGGCUCCAGCGGCGCCUAAGUGAAGCGACCAUGGAGGUCGUCGCAGUUGGUCAAAGAAGCCGAGUGCUCC